RNAcentral lists this ribosomal RNA (461 nucleotides) under uncultured bacterium. RNAcentral's name for it is "partial 16S ribosomal RNA". It matches the Rfam family "Bacterial small subunit ribosomal RNA", at positions 338 to 795 of the family's 1533-position model. The record is from RNAcentral.
CCUACGGGUGGCAGCAGUGAGGAAUAUUGGUCAAUGGGCGCAAGCCUGAACCAGCCAAGUCGCGUGAGGGAUGACGGUCCUAUGGAUUGUAAACCUCUUUUGUCGGGGAGCAAGGCCCGCCACGUGUGGCGGGAAGGAGAGUACCCGAAGAAAAAGCAUCGGCUAACUCCGUGCCAGCAGCCGCGGUAAUACGUAGGUGGCAAGCGUUGUCCGGAUUUACUGGGUGUAAAGGGCGUGUAGCCGGGCUGACAAGUCAGAUGUGAAAUCCCGUGGCUCAACCACGGAACUGCAUUUGAAACUGUCGGUCUUGAGUAUCGGAGAGGCAGGCGGAAUUCCUAGUGUAGCGGUGAAAUGCGUAGAUAUUAGGAGGAACACCAGUGGCGAAGGCGGCCUGCUGGACGACAACUGACGGUGAGGCGCGAAAGCGUGGGGAGCAAACAGGAUUAGAUACCCUUGUAGUC